RNAcentral lists this ribosomal RNA (275 nucleotides) under uncultured bacterium. RNAcentral's name for it is "partial 16S ribosomal RNA". It matches the Rfam family "Bacterial small subunit ribosomal RNA", at positions 399 to 691 of the family's 1533-position model. The record is from RNAcentral.
GCGUGUGUGAAGAAGGUCUUCGGAUUGUAAAGCACUUUCGACGGGGACGAUGAUGACGGUACCCGUAGAAGAAGCCCCGGCUAACUUCGUGCCAGCAGCCGCGGUAAUACGAAGGGGGCUAGCGUUGCUCGGAAUGACUGGGCGUAAAGGGCGCGUAGGCGGAUUGCACAGUCAGAUGUGAAAUUCCUGGGCUUAACCUGGGGGCUGCAUUUGAUACGUGUGAUCUAGAGUGAGGAAGAGGGUCGUGGAAUUCCCAGUGUAGAGGUGAAAUUCGU